RNAcentral lists this ribosomal RNA (433 nucleotides) under uncultured bacterium. RNAcentral's name for it is "partial 16S ribosomal RNA". It matches the Rfam family "Bacterial small subunit ribosomal RNA", at positions 29 to 507 of the family's 1533-position model. The record is from RNAcentral.
AACGAACGCUGGCGGCAUGCCUAACACAUGCAAGUCGAACGAGACCUUCGGGUCUAGUGGCGCACGGGUGCGUAACGCGUGGGAACCUGCCCUUAGGUUCGGAAUAACUCUCCGAAAGGGGUGCUAAUACCGGAUAAUGUCUUCGGACCAAAGAUUUAUUGCCUUUGGUUGGUCCCGCGUUGGAUUAGCUAGUUGGUAGGGUAAAAGCCUACCAAGGCGACGAUCCAUAGCUGGUCUGAGAGGAUGGUCAGCCACACUGGGACUGAGACACGGCCCAGACUCCUACGGGAGGCAGCAGUGGGGAAUAUUGGACAAUGGGCGAAAGCCUGAUCCAGCAAGGCCGCGUGAGUGAUGAAGGCCUUAGGGUUGUAAAGCUCUUUUACCCGGGAUGAUAAUGACAGUACCGGGAGAAUAAGCUCCGGCUAACUCCGUG